ACGAAGAGGUAUCGUAAUUGAAGAGGUUUGGAAAGACCCACCACAGAAGGUAAUAGUCCUGUAUGUUAAACGAGAAGACUUCAGAUAUGAUCCAGAGUACCACGGGACACGUGAAACCCUGUGGGAAGCAGGAGGGACCACCCUCCAAGGCUAAAUACUACCUAGUGACCGAUAGCGUAUAGUACCGUGAGGGAAAGGUGAAAAGAACCCCGGGAGGGGAGUGAAAUAGAACCUGAAACCCUGCACUUACAAGCUGUGGAAGCACAUUUCUUGUGUGACCGCGUACUUUUUGUAGAACGGGCCAACGAGUUACGUUAAGUAGCAAGGUUAAGCACUUAAGGUGCGGAGCCGUAGCGAAAGCGAGUUUUAACUGAGCGUUCAGUUACUUGACGUAGACCCGAAACCGGGCGACCUACCCAUGAGCAGGAUGAAGCGAAAGUAAAAUUUCGUGGAGGUCCGAACCCACGAGCGUUGAAAAGCUCGGGGAUGACUUGUGGGUAGCGGUGAAAUUCCAAUCGAGCCCGGAGAUAGCUGGUUCUCCCCGAAAUAGCUUUAGGGCUAGCCUCAAGGUGAGAGAUACGGAGGUAGAGCACUGAAUGUCCUAGGGGGUAUUGCACCUACCGAAGACUAUCAAACUCCGAAUGCCGUCAUCUUAUACUUGGGAGUCAGACUGUGGGUGAUAAGAUUCAUAGUCGAAAGGGCAACAGCCCAGAUCGUCAGCUAAGGUCCCUAAAUGUAAGUUAAGUGGUAAAGGAUGUGGGAUUGCACAGACAACCAGGAUGUUGGCUUAGAAGCAGCCACUCAUUCAAAGAGUGCGUAAUAGCUCACUGGUCGAGUGAUCCUGCGCCGAAGAUUUCCGGGGCUAAAACUU
This 871-nucleotide ribosomal RNA is filed under the name Clostridioides difficile. RNAcentral's name for it is "partial 23S ribosomal RNA". It matches the Rfam family "Bacterial large subunit ribosomal RNA", at positions 316 to 1189 of the family's 2925-position model. The record is from RNAcentral. Lineage: Bacteria; Bacillati; Bacillota; Clostridia; Peptostreptococcales; Peptostreptococcaceae.